This 440-nucleotide ribosomal RNA is filed under the name uncultured bacterium. Its description in RNAcentral is "partial 16S ribosomal RNA". It matches the Rfam family "Bacterial small subunit ribosomal RNA", at positions 338 to 795 of the family's 1533-position model. The record is from RNAcentral.
CCUACGGGAGGCUGCAGUGGGGAAUAUUGCACAAUGGGGGAAACCCUGAUGCAGCGACGCCGCGUGAGUGAAGAAGUAAUUAGUGAUGUAAAGCUCUAUUAGCAGGGAAGUAAAUGACGGUACCUGAGUAAGAAGCUCCGGCUAACUACGUGCCAGCAGCAGCGGUAAUACGUAGGGGGCAAGCGUUAUCCGGAUUUACUGGGUGUAAAGGGAGCGUAGACGGCAGUGCAAGUCUGGAGUGAAAGGCGGGGGUUCAACCCCCGGACUGCUCUGGAAACUGUACGGCUGGAGUGCAGGAGAGGUAAGUGGAAUUCCUAGUGUAGCGGUGAAAUGCGUAGAUAUUAGGAAGAACACCAGUGGCGAAGGCGGCUUACUGGACUGUAACUGACGUUGAGGCUCGAAAGCGUGGGUAGCAAACAGGAUUAGAUACCCGAGUAGUC